GCUUGUCUCAAAGAUUAAGCCAUGCAUGUAUCAGUACACGCCUUAACAAGGUGAAACCGCGAACGGCUCAUUACAACAGCUAUAAUCUACUCGAUCUUGAACAGUUACUCGGAUAACUGUGGUAAUUCUAGAGCUAAUACGUGCACCAAAGCUGUCCCUUGCGGGGCAGUGCAUUUAUUUGAGCAAAACCAGGCGGCUUCGGCCGUUUUUGUUGAAUCAGAAUAACUAAGCUGACCGCAUAGGCUUGUCCUGGCGGCGUGUCGUUCGAGUGUCUGCCUUAUCAACUUUCGAUGGUAGUGUAUGUGACUACCAUGGUUGUGACGGGUAACGGAGGAUAAGGGUUCGACUCCGGAGAAGGGGCCUGAGAAAUGGCCACUACGUCUAAGGAUGGCAGCAGGCGCGCAAAUUACCCACUCUCAGCGCGAGGAGGUAGUGACGAAAAAUAACAAGGACGUUCUCUAUGAGGCCGUCCAUUGGAAUGGGUACAACUCGAACCCUUUAACGAGUAUCAAUGAGAGGGCAAGUCUGGUGCCAGCAGCCGCGGUAAUUCCAGCUCUCAAAAUGCAUAGAACCAUUGCUGCGGUUAAAAAGCUCGUAGUUGGAUCUGUGCCGGCGCCGUGGUCCACCCUCUUGGGUGGUACUGCGUGCGUCGGCUUUGGGCCGGUCUUCGUCUGUCGGCCUUCGGGUCGUUCAGUCGUGGCUGGCUGGUUUACUUUGAGCAAAUCAGAGUGCUCAGCACAGGCGUUUCGCCGGAAUGUUCGUGCAUGGAAUAAUAGAAAAGGAUCACGGUCCUCUUUUAUUGGUUUUGUGGACUGAGAUAAUGGUUAACAGAGACGAACGGGGGCAUUCGUAUUGCUGCGUGAGAGGUGAAAUUCUUGGACC
This 882-nucleotide ribosomal RNA is filed under the name Hemicaloosia guangzhouensis. RNAcentral's name for it is "SSU rRNA". It matches the Rfam family "Eukaryotic small subunit ribosomal RNA", at positions 30 to 926 of the family's 1831-position model. The record is from RNAcentral. Lineage: Eukaryota; Metazoa; Nematoda; Chromadorea; Rhabditida; Hemicycliophoridae.